Lathyrus oleraceus (garden pea) is the source of this 115-nucleotide small nuclear RNA. RefSeq annotates it as U5 spliceosomal RNA. The record is from RefSeq and is a predicted model, not a curated record. NCBI's taxonomy places the organism in Eukaryota, Viridiplantae, Streptophyta, Magnoliopsida, Fabales, Fabaceae. The transcript has a single exon.
AGCCGUGUGAUGAACACAAAGCGAACUAUUCUUUCGCCUUUUACUAAAGAAUACCGUGUGUGCGUCACUAAAAGCGGCAUACGCCUAUUUUUGAAAGAGUUCUCUUUUGAGAGCU